This 526-nucleotide ribosomal RNA is filed under the name Conus ventricosus. RNAcentral describes it as "partial 16S ribosomal RNA". The stretch from base 1 to 462 matches the Rfam family "Bacterial large subunit ribosomal RNA", at positions 1992 to 2925 of the family's 2925-position model. Lineage: Eukaryota; Metazoa; Mollusca; Gastropoda; Neogastropoda; Conidae. The record is from RNAcentral.
AUGAAUGGUUUAACAAGAAUACACCUGUCUCUUUUAGAUUAUUUAGAAUUUUAUUUUUGGAUGAAAAAGUCCAGAUACCAUUAAAAGACAAGAAGACCCUAUCGAGCUUUAGAGAAGUUAGUAGACCUAAUAUAAUCAAUAUAAGUAAAAGAAAAGCUAUUAAAUACUUUGGUUGGGGCAACCGAGGAACAAAUAAAGCUUCCUCUAAAUUAUAAAUCCUACUUGUGUUGAUCCAAGGAAUUUUGAUUAAAGGAAUUAGUUACCGUAGGGAUAACAGCAUUAUCUUUUUCAAGAGCCCAUAUCGAAAAAAAGGUUUGUGACCUCGAUGUUGGACCAGAAUAUCCUAAAGAUGCAGAAGUCUUUAAGGGUUGGUCUGUUCGACCAUUAAAAUUCUACGUGAUCUGAGUUCAGACCGGCGUGAGCCAGGUCAGUUUCUAUCUUUAUAUUUCUUGGUUGCGUUUAGUACGAAAGGACCGAUGUAAUGUAUAAAAUAUUUUAAUUAGAUUGAAUAUAAUUCAACUUUAAA